RNAcentral lists this non-coding RNA (23 nucleotides) under Arabidopsis thaliana (thale cress). The record is from RNAcentral. Lineage: Eukaryota; Viridiplantae; Streptophyta; Magnoliopsida; Brassicales; Brassicaceae.
UCAUUGUGAAGACAACUUUCCUA